RNAcentral lists this transfer RNA (78 nucleotides) under Puniceicoccales bacterium. RNAcentral's name for it is "tRNA-Pro". It matches the Rfam family "tRNA". From Rfam's summary of the family: Transfer RNA (tRNA) molecules are approximately 80 nucleotides in length. Their secondary structure includes four short double-helical elements and three loops (D, anti-codon, and T loops). Further hydrogen bonds mediate the characteristic L-shaped molecular structure. tRNAs have two regions of fundamental functional importance: the anti-codon, which is responsible for specific mRNA codon recognition, and the 3' end, to which the tRNAs corresponding amino acid is attached (by aminoacyl-tRNA synthetases). tRNAs cope with the degeneracy of the genetic code in two manners: having more than one tRNA (with a specific anti-codon) for a particular amino acid; and 'wobble' base-pairing, i.e. permitting non-standard base-pairing at the 3rd anti-codon position. Lineage: Bacteria; Pseudomonadati; Verrucomicrobiota; Opitutia; Puniceicoccales. The record is from RNAcentral.
CGGGCGGUAGCGCAGCCUGGCUAGCGCACCUGCUUUGGGAGCAGGGGGUCGCGGGUUCGAAUCCCGCCCGCCCGACCA